Molecule: small nuclear RNA, 189 nt
Organism: Camelus dromedarius (Arabian camel)
Lineage: Eukaryota; Metazoa; Chordata; Mammalia; Artiodactyla; Camelidae
Gene: U2
Rfam family: U2 spliceosomal RNA
About the family: U2 is a small nuclear RNA (snRNA) component of the spliceosome (involved in pre-mRNA splicing). Complementary binding between U2 snRNA (in an area lying towards the 5' end but 3' to hairpin I) and the branchpoint sequence (BPS) of the intron results the bulging out of an unpaired adenosine, on the BPS, which initiates a nucleophilic attack at the intronic 5' splice site, thus starting the first of two transesterification reactions that mediate splicing.
Source: Ensembl
AUCUCUUCUCAGCCUUUUGGCUAAGAUCAGGUGUAGUAUCUUCUUAUCAGUUUACUAUCUGAUACAUCCUCUAUCCGAGGACAAUACAGUAAAUGGCUUUUGGGAGCAGGGAGUUGGAAUAGGAGCUUGUUCCGUCCACUCCACGCAUUGACCUGGUACUGCAGUACUUCCAGGAACGGAGCACCCCUC